This 465-nucleotide ribosomal RNA is filed under the name Vreelandella stevensii. RNAcentral describes it as "partial 16S ribosomal RNA". It matches the Rfam family "Bacterial small subunit ribosomal RNA", at positions 338 to 795 of the family's 1533-position model. Lineage: Bacteria; Pseudomonadati; Pseudomonadota; Gammaproteobacteria; Oceanospirillales; Halomonadaceae. The record is from RNAcentral.
CCUACGUGGUGCUGCAGUGGGGAAUAUUGGACAAUGGGCGAAAGCCUGAUCCAGCCAUGCCGCGUGUGUGAAGAAGGCCUUCGGGUUGUAAAGCACUUUCAGUGGGGAAGAAAGCCUUGGGGCUAAUACCCUCGAGGAAGGACAUCACCCACAGAAGAAGCACCGGCUAACUCCGUGCCAGCAGCCGCGGUAAUACGGAGGGUGCGAGCGUUAAUCGGAAUUACUGGGCGUAAAGCGCGCGUAGGCGGUCUGAUAAGCCGGUUGUGAAAGCCCCGGGCUCAACCUGGGAACGGCAUCCGGAACUGUCAGGCUAGAGUGCAGGAGAGGAAGGUAGAAUUCCCGGUGUAGCGGUGAAAUGCGUAGAGAUCGGGAGGAAUACCAGUGGCGAAGGCGGCCUUCUGGACUGACACUGACGCUGAGGUGCGAAAGCGUGGGUAGCAAACAGGAUUAGAUACCCUAGUAGUC